RNAcentral lists this unclassified non-coding RNA (340 nucleotides) under soil metagenome. RNAcentral's name for it is "partial contains 5.8S ribosomal RNA, internal transcribed spacer 2, and large subunit ribosomal RNA". The stretch from base 1 to 120 matches the Rfam family "5.8S ribosomal RNA", at positions 35 to 154 of the family's 154-position model. The record is from RNAcentral.
GAUGAAGAACGUAGCGAAAUGCGAUAAGUAGUGUGAAUUGCAGAUUUCAGUGAAUCAUCGAAUCUUUGAACGCACAUUGCGCCCGUCAGUAUUCUGACGGGCAUGCCUGUCCGAGCGUCAUUUCAACCCUCAAGCACUGCUUGGCGUUGGCGGAUUGCGUGCCCUCGCGGCGCUGCAACCGCCCAAAUACAGUGGCGGUCCCGCUGCGGCUCCCUUUGCGUAGUAACUCACCUCGCACUGGACCGGGCGGCGGCCUGCCGUAAAACCCCAACUCACGAAAUGUUGACCUCGGAUCAGGUAGGAAUACCCGCUGAACUUAAGCAUAUCAAUAAGCGGAGGA